This is a long non-coding RNA of Sphaerodactylus townsendi, 544 nucleotides long. RefSeq lists it as uncharacterized. The record is from RefSeq and is a predicted model, not a curated record. The transcript has 2 exons. NCBI's taxonomy places the organism in Eukaryota, Metazoa, Chordata, Lepidosauria, Squamata, Sphaerodactylidae.
CUUGGGUUACAAGCAAGAGCCGGAAAAAGACGGCGCAAAGGGGAAAGGACUUUUUAGCAAGAAAGCUAAUCGAGAGGCAAAAGCUGUUUAUUGACAAGCCCGUUUUACCCCGGCAGCGACCAAGCCAACCAACACCACUCAAUAGUAAACGUGUGCACAACUAGCAAUGGCGCACAACACGACUCGCCUUGCAACAACCGGGAGGCUGAGCUACCUUCGUUUUUUGUUUUGCUUUUUUUUUUUUUGCAAAGCCCAACCACGCAAUUAGCCGGAGGAAACAAAGUUGCUGCAAAGACCCACCUGAAGGGGCCUCCAAUCCAAACUGAUGGAUCUCCGCAUCUCAUUGGUUCUCCGAGGCUUUCACAGGAUCAAAUUUCUGCCUGUCAAUCUGCCUGCCUCUGACCCCCUCGGGGAAAAAGGGAAAAGCUGGAUCCUCCCGGAUUCUGCAGGGGAUUCGACGGGUCGUUGCUCCCUCAACUGACCGUGCAAAAACAGCUGCUCGAUAUAACUCGCCCGUACGCGCAUUAAAAGACUUUGAAUCUCA